GAGCUUGUUUACAGAGCCGCGAGAGAUUCUGCUCAGAGGGGUUUGCCCGUGAAGGACUGAGUGAAAGCCUCACAGAUGGGAUAACGGAAUUCCACAGAAACAAGUGCAUACACGUUCUUCAUGGCUGACACAGCAUAACAAACUAGCUUACUUGUAAUGUUUUAACACACGCUACGAGAGACACCACUUGUUUCUUUUUAUUUUUGAGAUUGGUCGCUGUUCAUUCUGGUGGUGCAAGCCGAGAACGCGGGAUAUCUUUAUCCAACCCUAUCGUGUUUGCUUGGACCAAAGGUGCCGGACAAAAUGGAUAACGAAAAGUACCUCCCAGAGCUCUUGGCAGAGAAGGACUCUCUCGACCCGUCAUUUCAACAUGCAUUACGGCUUCUUGAUCAAGAAAUCGACAAAGCUCAAAAAGACGAUGGAAAAGAGGACGAGAAGUUUAUCGAUGUUGUCAUCAACAAGAACAUGAAGCUCGGACAGAAAAUCUUGAUACCUGUCAAACAAUUCCCCAAAUUCAACUUUGUGGGCAAACUGCUGGGCCCGCGCGGGAACUCGUUAAAGCGGCUACAAGAAGACACACUCACAAAGAUGUCAAUUCUCGGCAAAGGAUCCAUGAGAGACAAAGAGAAGGAAGAGGAGCUACGGAAGAGCGGCGAAUCCAAAUACCAACACCUGAACGAGGACCUGCACGUGCUGAUCGAGGUGUUUGCGCCGCCGGCCGAAGCCUACGCCAGGAUGGGCCAUGCGCUGGAGGAGAUCAAGAAGUUCCUCAUCCCUGAUUACAAUGAUGAGAUCAGACAGGCCCAGCUGCAGGAGCUCACGUACCUGAAUGGUGCUUCAGAGGAUGCCAAGGUGCCCGCGGUGAGAGGUAAACCGUCAGCACGAGCACGAGGGACACCUGCUCCUGGACCUCCCAGGAGUCGGGGAGGAGUGCCCCCACCACAGGCUGCAGUGCCCCGUGGCGUUGCGCCCAGAGGCGCCCAUCCGAGCCGAGUGCCAUCCAGCAGAGCGAGAGGGGGGCCCGCACCGCGGGCACGAGGAGCACCCCCGCCUGCCGGCUACAGACCCCCGCCGCCCAUCGUGCAGGACUCGUACGGGGAGUAUGAGUAUGACGAUGGGUAUGGAACAGCUUAUGACGAACAAGGAUACGACACCUAUGACAACAACUACAGCAAUCAAGGUCAAAACUCAGACGACUAUUACGAAUACGGACACGGCAUCAGCGGGGAGUCGUAUGAGUCAUACGGCCAGGAAGAGUGGACAACCACCCGCACCAAGGCCCCCCCAGCACGAACCACCAAAGGCGUGUACAGGGAACAACCCUACACCAGAUACUGAACUGUUCCCCCACAACCCUCCCCUUUCAACCUGCAGAGACAACAUCACGGGUCACCCCCCCCCAAGUAAUGGAUUUUCUAUGGACUAUCCCACUCCUUUUUAGAAUAAAAUGAAAAAAAAAACAAAAACGAAAAAAAAAAAUACAAAUGAAAACACAUCCAACCUGGAGAUGAGGAGAGGAGGUCACAGCAACCGCUGAUUGUAAACUGAGUUGACCGUGACAGGCUGUGGAGGAUGGUGAAAAUAAUGACCAUUACUUAUUCCCGAGAAGGACUAAAGAGGACCGCUGUACGAUUAGAUGAGACAACAUCCAGUGAUUUGCCAUGACACUGAUAGGCCACUCUUCACAGUCCGUUUACAGAAACAUGGACCUUGAAGAAAUGGUGGACAUCCGAAAAUGUCUCUGCUUUUAGCACUCUCCUCCCCGUGCUGGCUCUCACCCCGUUUGCCCUGGUGCGGUUUCCCCUUCAGAGCACACCGCGUCACUUUGGCUCUUUAGCGGUCGGGGGGAGAAAUUUGAUCUUUCUCUUCAGACGGUCACCUUUCAGCACAGUGGCACAAACUUGAUUGUCUCUUUACGGUCCUCCCCAAUUACUUUCCUCUCUCCUUCAAAAGCUGGCACUCUUUGUUGCCAUCAACUAGUGCCUACAAACACCUCUGCUGAUGCUCCUCGGUCACCCCCCACAGCAAUUUUCAAAAGCUCUUUUUUAAUAUAAGACAAGGAAUCAAGCCAUUGAGGAAAACAAAAACUUCCCUACCAGCUUGUUGUGAUGCCCUAGUGUUCCUUUGUCUAUUUUUAUCAAUUCUGAGAAGAUGUUAUUUUCUAUCAGAAUUCUAUAUUUGUUGAGAACCUGUGCAUGUAUAACCAUAGUGUUUGUUCUUUCAAACACCAUUUGUAUAUCUGGAAUAGCUUGUCCUUGUUUUAAAUGGUAUUGUAUCUUUAUAGAAGAAUCAACAUGUACUAUGAAUUGUUUGUACUGUUGAGGGACUUAUCAUUACAAUCAUUCAUGCAUACCCUCCUCAGUUUUUACACACAUACAUAUGCAUGCCAUACAGUAAACAUGAUUUAUUCAUGACCGAUGACCAAAUCUGGACAUUUUCCACAAAAUGCACAUCAUUGAGGGUGACACCACUGUGAUGUGGGAUGACUGCACUGCUGCCAAAGUCCCAUGGCUCCCCCAGAUCAAUAAUCGCCACCAGCUUCUUCCAGUGGUCCAUGUUAUGAGCCCAAAUCCACUGGGAGAGAGAGGAGAGAACGAGACACGGGGAGAUGCUCUAGGAUCCUCUUCAGGCAAUCUCCACCUCUCUUGCUUCCUCCAUCCUAAUCCUCUCUGUUGUACCACCCCACAAUCCUCCCCCUGAGAACCCCCCACCUUUCUCUCUCUCUCUCUCUCUCUCUCUCUCUCUCUCUCUCAGUGGCUGGCAAGGGUGCUGGCACCCCUUUUGUGCCUGGGCGAUUAGUGUCCUCCAGUGCUCCCAGAGGACAGGGGGCUUUGUGCCACGUAAGCCCUGACAGGGGGCGCUUUCAGGCGGGGAUGAGCACGCAAGCCAGGGCUCCCUUUGUAAACCCCAAAGAGAUAAUGACUUAUUGAUUGUUUUUGACAAAAAUCCAUUAUCUCCACCAAACGCUUGACUAAAUGUAUCUCCAAGAGGAACAUAUGUUAAAAGUGAUUAAAGAACAACUCUUGUUUUUUCUUGUGUGUUUGUUUGUUUUCUGGUUGUUGCCAUUGCUCGUUCUGCUGUUCGGAGUUAUUGUUGCUCAUGAGCCUGACUUGACACCCCCCCUCUCUCUCUCUCCUUCUCUCUAUCUCUCUUCCUCUCCUUCAUUUUUAGGGUGUUUUCCAACAUGAAAGAAACAGACCAGCUUAAAAUUUUGUUCAAUACACCGAAGAAUGCAAUGGAGGAUGGCACCAUGCUGCACCAACAGUAAUAACCAAAGCAAUGGCAGAUCAGAGGACACAACCAAAGACACAUCUUUUUCCGUCUCCUUUGCCGACAUCCCCACAUCCCCACUCAGAGAGGCUGCAGCCUGAUCUGUAUUAGAAGGCUCGGAGUGACAGCAUCUUUCUGAGACAUUAUCGGAGAUGUUCAGACUCUGCUGCCAAGAAAACAUGGAAAGAGUGCUAAAAGGAGUGUGUGUGUGAGUGUGUGUGUUUGUGUGUGUGUGUGUGUGUGUGUGUGGUGUGCGAUGUAUGUGGGGGUGGUGUUAAUGUGUGUAUCAAACCCACUCUCUCCCUCACACAUUCGCUGUCAUCUUCCUCUCUCUGUCUGUUUCUCUCUUGCUCCUUCUCCCAAAGGGAGAGCUGCGUAGGCUCUAUAAUGGAGCUCCAAAUCCAGGGCGGCGGAGAGGGUGGCGGUGGUGUCUGGGCCGGAUGUGGAGUCGGCUGCAAUGUGUUCUGAGUGUUUUCCUUCUUAAACACUCCGGCUCCCAGACUUAAACUCGCCCAUACAUUCCCCUCCAGCCGCAUACAUUUUACAGUAGUGUGAACUGACAGUGAACCCACUUAACUGAGUACAUCUAGCUCAACUGUCUGGUAGCUAAUGGGAAAUUGUGCCCGCCUCCCCUACACACACACACACACACACACACACACACACACACACACCGCGACUCUCUUUCAGAUCUGCACAGAGAAGGACAGCGAGACUGGAUUAAUAUUGCAGCGAGCCUUCAACGUGUCACCAAAUUGCUAGAAAUGACACCUUCUAAUUACAUUGUUGUUUUGUUCAUUGUGGAAUAUCUAAUCCCCUUCCGAUGAAUAAAUCAUAGACCUCCAGUGCCUUAUUGUAAGUCAACUGGCUCUUGCGUCUCUUUAAGACAGACAUACUGUAAUGUUAGUACUUAAUGUGCUUGUGUGGAGAAGGGGUUUUUUUUUUUGGCGGUAAUGCAACUUUUGCCUGUAAAGCUGAGUUGACCAUAGCUUACAGUGUUUGUUGGGUGUCAAAAAGGGUUGAAUUCAUCCAAGGCUUGAUAACUGAAUAGUGUUCUACCAUUAUAGCAAUAAGUUUCAACUGCAUUGUUUUUGGCUUCUAGAUUUCUUGUUUUCUACAUGAAUCAGAUGACAUGACAAACUGAUCUGACGCCUUGCGUACUUUUUACUUUCCAUCCCAAGCAAUGGCAGAUGGCAGAUAGACAGUUACAGAUGUCCUCCCUCUGCCCAUGACAUUGGCAUGGUUCAUGCCAAACUCUCUAACUCAAGCUUCCGGAGCCAAGUAACAAAGAACAGAUUAAAAAGCAAACAUUCUUCCCUCUGAAAUCAGCAUAGAAGCUAAAUGAUGGGAUUUAGCAAACCUGUCCAUGAUAUUUCAAUAAAACAUAAAAGGGUUGAGUGCACUGUGUGUGUAUUUUAAGUUGAAUGGCAUUUCUUCCUAUAUUCUGGACCAUUUAGUAUUUUUCCUGCCUUGUCAGUAUAUGUUUUUUUCCCCCAAUGUUACCCUCACCUCCCCUGAGCUCUUGAGUCAUGGCCGCCUUCUCCCUGCCUCUUCCUCCUCCCUAGGAAAGACUCCAGCACUCCAACUCCUAACAGUUUAAUGUCCUCUACAGCAGACAAUAGUUUUCCAUUAGGGAAAGUGAUUCUAGUCUGACGUCUAGGCAAUACCCCAGGAGACGGUGGUGCUGAAAGCUCCUGGUUGUGUCCACGCGUCCCUGCUCGACCUUCACUGCUCCUACUUCCCCCUGGGCCGAGUGUUGUCGUUGUUUUUUUUUUUUUUUUUUUUAUUCCAAUGAAAGGCUGGCACGGAAAGCAGCUGGCCCCCGGUGAAACCGCAGCGCCUGAGGUGACACCGCCACAGCUGCCUGCACUGUUGAGAGAGAGAGAAGAGAGGGAGGGAGACAAAAGAGAGGGACAGAGAGAGACAAAAAAGAGAGGGAGAGAGGAACAGAAAAGCAGGAGAGAGAGCGAGAGAGAAAGAGAGAGAGGUGAUUUUAAUUCUUAGGGUAAGAUCUAGUCCAAGACGGAUGAGUGACCCUUGUCUGCACAUGAGCGCCUCCCUCCCACAGUUGUAAUGUAGUUGUAAUGUUGCCUGAUGAAGGGCUCUUGAACUGAGCUGUCAGCAGAGCAGUGUUUCUGAACAGUAUGUUGGCCUACAAACUCUCACAGUGAGUACAACAAAACACAGCGCAUGGCCAAGUGUCCACUCUGGGAAAGUGAGAUUAAAAUGAAUGUGUGUGUUUGGAUGGGAAACACAAUGAUGACACAUCUCUAUGUUUCCAACAGCUCUUAUGAAAUGAACGUGCUCUGUAUUCCAGAACAUACCUUACAAAGAUUACUGAUGUCAAUCACCAUUUUGAUUAGGAGACAAAGAAUCUCAGCAAAUCCUUAUGGAAUGUUAGAAGGAGAUGUCUUGCAGCACAUUGCUUCUUCAAAAGGAUUCCUGAGAGGCUUUCAUUGAUUUUGUAUUAAGGACUUUUUUACUCACUUUGUGCCUUGUAGUAAGGCCAACGAGUCUGCAGGAACCCAAAUCCCCUUUUAUUUCAUAAUGAACUUGUGUUCUUCUCCAUCUGUACUUGAUUGAAGUGCUGUGGGCUGUCUGCCCCCACUCAGAAAGGGUGUGUUAACAUCACAUGAAUAAAACACUCUGUAAAGUCUGAAUUUCUGAAUGGUUGAUGGACUCAGUUCCCCCACCCCCCAUCCCACCCCUCUCCAAGUCAGGCCUAAAGGAAGCUGUUUAUGUGUUUGUUUUGUUUACAUGUGUGUAUUUGCUUGUGUGUGUGCGUGUGUGAUGUCUUCACUACCUGUUUGUCUUUGUCUAUUUGUGUGUAGAAAAAAAAAGAAAACAUGCCAUGUUUCUCUAUGCUGUCAGUAAUGCAUUGUCAAUAAACAAAAGUAUUUGUGUUCA
RNA transcript from Alosa alosa (allis shad), 6177 nucleotides. It is a transcript of the gene named KH domain containing, RNA binding, signal transduction associated 3, with no coding region annotated. NCBI's taxonomy places the organism in Eukaryota, Metazoa, Chordata, Actinopteri, Clupeiformes, Clupeidae. The transcript has 11 exons. The record is from RefSeq and is a predicted model, not a curated record.